RNAcentral lists this ribosomal RNA (419 nucleotides) under uncultured bacterium. Its description in RNAcentral is "bacterial SSU rRNA". It matches the Rfam family "Bacterial small subunit ribosomal RNA", at positions 358 to 774 of the family's 1533-position model. The record is from RNAcentral.
GGAAUAUUGGUCAAUGGACGGAAGUCUGAACCAGCCAUGCCGCGUGGAGGAAGAAGGUCCUAUGGGUUGUAAACUCCUUUUGUUCCGGAGUAAUAAGUGCCUUGCGAGGCACGAUGAGAGUACGGGACGAAUAAGCAUCGGCUAACUCCGUGCCAGCAGCCGCGGUAAUACGGAGGAUGCAAGCGUUAUCCGGAUUUAUUGGGUUUAAAGGGUGCGCAGGCGGCGCGUUAAGUCAGUGGUGAAAUGUCCCGGCUCAACCGGGGAACUGCCGCUGAUACUGACGUGCUCGAGUACGGACGGCGCCGGCGGAAUGUGUCAUGUAGCGGUGAAAUGCUUAGAUAUGCCACAGAACACCGAUCGCGAAGGCAGCUGGCGAGGCCGGUACUGACGCUCAGGCACGAAAGCGUGGGGAUCAAACA